Vicia villosa (hairy vetch) is the source of this 842-nucleotide long non-coding RNA. RefSeq lists it as uncharacterized. The transcript has 4 exons. The record is from RefSeq and is a predicted model, not a curated record. NCBI's taxonomy places the organism in Eukaryota, Viridiplantae, Streptophyta, Magnoliopsida, Fabales, Fabaceae.
AUUAGUUAGUAUUAAUUUUUAUUAGGAUUAUUAACUAUUAUUAGAAUUAGUUUUAGGAUUAUUAGGUUUAGUUUUAGUAGGCCCAUUAGGUAUAAACAAAACCUAAUUUAGGAGCAAUAUAAAAAGAGGGACCAAUUCACCAAUGGGGGAUUCACACGACUGACAAUUCCUAAACCUAUUCUCUUCCCAAGGAGGCCAAUUCACACUGUACAUAAUCCCAACGCAGCAGCAAUGCAGGCAACCACCACCACUCCCAGUCGGAAUAUCUUGUGCCACCAUUCGAGUCAGCCAUAACAUUCAGGGUUUUCAUCAAUGAGAGAACAAUGGCGAAGAAGAGCAAGAAAAAUCAUAGUCAGAGCAAUGUUCAGGAAGAAGCUCACGCGAAAUCUCAGGAAGAAGCUCACACAAAAUCUCAGGAAUCGGAACAUUUCAAUGUGACGUUUCACCAUGGUGGGGAGUUCGUGAGGGUGGCUGACGAAUAAAUCAUCUACAGAGGAGGUGUUGAUACAACCAUUACAGGUUGGAAAUUUAUGUGCUUCAAUAGAAGAACGGACAGUUGGUAGAACCGAACUCACCUCACUCAUGGAUGUGGAGAUGAGAUAUGUUUGGCGACAAUCAAAGGAAAGUUCGACUGGAUCAAUAUCAUCACUAUCUGCUGGAUUGGGACCAAGCGAAUAAGUGAGCGGAUGCAUUAAAACUUCUUUGACAUUGGUUUUGGCUCUCAUCACUUAUUUGCUUAUCAUGGUUUCACUUUAUGCAUAAGAGCAGAAGGUGAGAAUAGACACUAAUUGGCAAGAGAAAAAAGCUUUCAUGUUAUUUGUUCAGGUUGCACAUGUUAGAAA